RNAcentral lists this ribosomal RNA (253 nucleotides) under uncultured bacterium. RNAcentral describes it as "partial 16S ribosomal RNA". It matches the Rfam family "Bacterial small subunit ribosomal RNA", at positions 524 to 776 of the family's 1533-position model. The record is from RNAcentral.
UACAGAGGGGGCAAGCGUUGUUCGGACUUACUGGGCGUAAAGGGCGCGUAGGCGGCUUGUUAAGUCGAACGUGAAAUCCCCGGGCUCAACCCGGGAACUGCGUCCGAUACUGGCAGGCUUGAAUCCGGGAGAGGGAUGCGGAAUUCCAGGUGUAGCGGUGAAAUGCGUAGAUAUCUGGAGGAAGACCGGUGGCGAAGGCGGCAUCCUGGACCGGUAUUGACGCUGAGGAGCGAAAGCGUGGGGAGCGAACAGG